AACGAACGCUGGCGGCAGGCUUAACACAUGCAAGUCGAACGGGUGUAGCAAUACAUCAGUGGCAGACGGGUGAGUAACACGUGGGAACCUUCCUAGGGGUACGGAACAACUCAGGGAAACUUGAGCUAAUACCGUAUACGUCCGUGAGGAGAAAGAUUUAUCGCCCUUAGACGGGCCCGCGUCGGAUUAGCUAGUUGGUGGGGUAACGGCCUACCACGGAGACGAUCCGUAGCUGAUCUUAGAGGAUGAUCAGCCACACUGGGACUGAGACACGGCCCAGACUCCUACGGGAGGCAGCAGUGGGGAAUCUUGGACAAUGGGCGCAAGCCUGAUCCAGCCAUGCCGCGUGAGUGAAGGAGGUCUUCGGAUUGUAAAGCUCUUUUGCCAGGGACGAUAAUGACGGUGCCUGGAGAAUAAGCCCCGGCAAACUUCGUGCCAGCCGCCGCGGUAA
This 451-nucleotide ribosomal RNA is filed under the name uncultured bacterium. RNAcentral describes it as "partial 16S ribosomal RNA". It matches the Rfam family "Bacterial small subunit ribosomal RNA", at positions 29 to 523 of the family's 1533-position model. The record is from RNAcentral.